AGACCCGGAAGUGGAUCGUGCGGAGCAAGCAUCACACCAUGGCGUAUGAGUGUUCCUCUGUGUAGACUCAACCUGCGCCUCGCCGUCCCCCAUUCGCACACCCGAUGCCCGGGGGUCGCUACGGACUUAAAAUCUCCGCACCGCACCCUCCACCUCAGAUGGGGUCUUACUAUGUUGCCCAGGCUGGAUUCAGUGCCGAGUCUCAAAGGCCAAGAAACGUUCCUGGAUCCGAACACUGCCCCCUGACGACCUAGAGAGAUCCCGGCUCCCAGCCCACUGAGUGGCUUCAGCCUCGCUGGCACCUCCCAACUCCUGGCCUCUCUGCACGAGGCGCCUGCCCCGGGCCCCGCCUACAGGGGACCCAGCUCUUCUUGCAGCCACUGGAAGCUGAUCACCUGGAGUGAAGACCUCACACGAAGAAGUCUGGAAGAAGAGGAAGAGGAAAGAAAAGGAGUCAGGGAUGGCCCUUACUCAGGUAAAGUGAUACUCCUGGUGGAUUGUUCUUUUAUUUCUUCCUGAAAUGCCUGGCAUUGGCAUUGCGAAUCUUCUCUGAGUCUGAAGCGUCCUGCCUGACAUGUUUGCUAGCACUCACCCGCGCCUUCCCU
RNAcentral lists this long non-coding RNA (605 nucleotides) under Homo sapiens (human). Its description in RNAcentral is "non-protein coding lnc-ZNF415-4:2". Lineage: Eukaryota; Metazoa; Chordata; Mammalia; Primates; Hominidae. The record is from RNAcentral.